Molecule: ribosomal RNA, 497 nt
Filed under: uncultured bacterium
Lineage: Bacteria
Description: partial 16S ribosomal RNA
Rfam family: Bacterial small subunit ribosomal RNA
Source: RNAcentral
GAUGAACGCUGGCGGCGUGCCUAAUACAUGCAAGUCGAGCGAACAGACGAGGAGCUUGCUCCUCUGACGUUAGCGGCGGACGGGUGAGUAACACGUGGAUAACCUACCUAUAAGACUGGGAUAACUUCGGGAAACCGGAGCUAAUACCGGAUAAUAUAUUGAACCGCAUGGUUCAAUAGUGAAAGACGGUUUUGCUGUCACUUAUAGAUGGAUCCGCGCCGCAUUAGCUAGUUGGUAAGGUAACGGCUUACCAAGGCGACGAUGCGUAGCCGACCUGAGAGGGUGAUCGGCCACACUGGAGCUGAGACACGGUCCAGACUCCUACGGGAGGCAGCAGUAGGGAAUCUUCCGCAAUGGGCGAAAGCCUGACGGAGCAGCGCCGCGUGAGUGAUGAAGGUCUUCGGAUCGUAAAACUCUGUUAUUAGGGAAGAACAAAUGUGUAAGUAACUAUGCACGUCUUGACGGUACCUAAUCAGAAAGCCACGGCUAACUACGUG